This 3260-nucleotide long non-coding RNA is filed under the name Gallus gallus (chicken). The record is from RNAcentral. Lineage: Eukaryota; Metazoa; Chordata; Aves; Galliformes; Phasianidae.
GAGAGAGUCCAGGGAAGGGUAAAUCAAGAAACCAGAAGAUCUGAGGAGGCAGAUUGGGAUCUGGCAGGAGAGGGUUCUGCUGCAUGUUUUGGUCAUGACUUAGGGAAGGCACAGUCACCGAGUGAUGGAUCUGCACCAAGACUUGCCUCGGUCUUUUCUGCAUAAGAACGUGCGGAAGAAUGAUGGUUGGUGCAAGGGGAAGCCAUGGAAAGCCAUGAGUGCCUGUUCAGAAAUCCAGUGGGAAAGAUGAUUCAUGCCAUGUAGUGACACAAGGGCACAAGUGCUGCACUUCAGUCGCUCCACUGAAUUCUAUGGGAUUUUCUGUCUGCUGGAUCACUGCUCAUGUCAGGAAGACAGCGAUAGAGAAGAUGACUCUUACUAAAGCUUCAGGUAGAUGCUGUGCAUCAGACUGGUGAGCAAGAUUAAAUCUCUGAAGGCUCUGGCUGUCUCAAUCUCCAUUGAAGUUGCUGGGAUCUGAAGACACAACUUUCUUAUUACGGUGCUGUUUGCUAUAAGUGUUAAUAUGGUCAAAGGAAGACUACCCACCAAAGACUGUAAGGAACAGUAGCAAAACCUUUUUAUUUUUUACAAACGCUAAUGCUACUUGGGGACCAUUUCAUUCCCCAAGUGUACAUCUGUUUGAGCAAAGGAUUCCCAGAAACAAGCAACAAGAAUAUUGAGACCAUUGCUCAAUAACCACAGCUUUUAUUUGGCAAUAGUUAUUGAGACCUGCAAGGGUUUUCCUGGGCUCAAAACUUGUCUGUUUCUUGUAGCAAUGUUUUCUGUUGGGUCAUAUGGAUUAUUUCAUGUUAUUAGAGCUGAAUACUAGUUGUCUACCAUUUCAGAUUUGCUAGCUUUUUAUCUUGUAGCAAUGUAUUUGUAUGCUGUAAUCUAUAGCAAAAUGCCAUUGUAAUUUUAAUGUCAGGUGUACCCACUGUGAGUCUCAGGUUUGUAUCGCUAUCCAGGGAAUGUGUCUGAGCUCUUUCCUUUUUAAGCCUAGUUGAAGCAGUGCAUCCAGAUGCAUUACUUUCAAAUCUUAUUCUCAAAUGUUUUAGUGGAAAUGAUGUGUGAUCAUUUUAAUCUGGCCUUUAUGUGUUUGACCGGAACUCAGCCUACAUAUUGCCGUGAGACAAGGGAAAUUGGAUGCUUUUACUUUUACAGCCAAAGUAUUCAUAUCCUUCCAGAAAAAAAGAACUAAUCUUCUGAAGCAGCAGGUAAGUAAAAGAUUUGUGGAGAAAUGGGAAAGGACAUUUAAUAUAUUUAAUCUUAUUAUACAUUUUUCUACAUUAAAAGUCAACAGGCUGCAAAUAUAUUUUGCUACAAAGCUUUUUGUAGGAAAUAUCUCUAUAAGAAAAUACAUCUCAUUAAACAUUUCCUGUAAAUAAAUUAUCCCACAUAACUAUGUUUUGUAAGAGGAGAAGGGAGAGGGUUAGGCUAGUGAUAAGAAGAGCCAAAAAUUGCUGAGCCCAUUUCUGCAACCCCACUGCUCCAUUUGGGUUACAUUUUCUUGUACACAUAGUUGAAAUGAAGGCAACAGAGCUCCUCUGUUGAGCAUGUGCUGUCAGUGUAAAUAACACAGACAGUGUUAUUUAAAAGUACAGUUCCUGUACUUUUUUAAUAUCUUGAAAUUAUGCUAUUUCUGAACCUUAUUCCUGUUUUAGGUACACAAGAACUCCUUUGAAAUAACCAAAGUGGAGCUGGUAGGACUGAGUUUGAAGUCUGACUCAGACUGUUAAAAAACAGAAGAGCCCACCCCAGAGCAGUUCCUUAUGGCAAUUAAAAAAUAACUCCAGUAAGCAGGCACAGCCAUUGUGGAAAGCCACUGUAGCCCUUAUACUGGCCCCUGAAACAUCAUGGGACAACACAGCAAGGUUUCAAGAUACUCAGGCCUCUCAUUCAUAGACAAGAGUUUAAAAUUCUACAAUGAAGAGAAACAGAGCCAGAAGACUCCUCUCAGUCAUGGAAAACACACUCUGCAACAGGAAAGAGAAUAGAGGAAAUUAAAUUACUUUGCUCUGCCAAGCCUACAUAAGAAGUCCACAUUACAGAGAUGCACCAAAUACAAGUGACUCUGCACCUUUGACAACACAAGUACAAACGAGGGCAACCACACUGACCAGUCAAAUGAAGAAGAGGGAAGAGGGGGGAGAAAGAGGAAGAUGAUUUAAUAGGGACCACCAGAUGGGGAUGUGACCACCCAGAGGAGAAUACAACGCAUGCGCCGGAGGGGAGGGACUUGAUUAAUGAAUAUGUAGUGGGGUUCAACGUAACCUGUUGAAUAUGUAUGAACUUGACUUACAAAUAUGUAGCAUUUCUGUAGACCGAUAUGCAAGUUAGGUGGAGCUAUCCCCCUUGCAUCCAGUUCUGCGCAGCGUUGAUUAAAACACACCUGAUUUUAUAACUACUUUGUGGUUAUAGAGUUUGAUUCUGCAAGUCAGUAAUGCUAGAUGGCUUUUCUCAGUCACAAGAAAGGUAUUUUUCUAUGUCAAGCAAUUCCCUUUCACUUUCCUGCUCUUCAAGUUCUCCAGGAGACAGGGCUGUACAGAAUGCAUUGCAUACGGUACAAGUGGGAUGACACAUCUCCAUGGCAAGGUGCCCUUUGAACCACGCUCUGGAAGUAUGAUCUGAAGAGCCCUCAGGCUCAAGGAUUUCUCUUCUCUUGCACUAAGCCAGCACUCACAUCGGUGCUGGCUGCACACCUCUGAGGAAAGAGCUGCAAAACCCACUAGGCAGCUCUCUGUAUUUGCAAGAUUCUUAAUUCAUCCCAGUGUUUACAAGUUCUGUGAAAAACAAAACAACAACAAAGAAGAUCCUACCAAAACUCAGAAAUUGCAACCUUUCAUGUAGACCACUCAGUUCUGAAACAGUAACAAUUCCCAUAGACUUUAGAUAUUUUCCCAGGAAGGAAAACAAGCCUGUAGUUCCAACAUAGCAAAGCAUCACUGUUAAAAAGUUAGAACAUCUUCUAAAUCAAUUGCUGCUGCAACAUAGCGUUUUGAAUACUGUCCAGAUGAGUAUGAGUAGAAAGGUCUCUUCCUAGAAAUACCAAAAUAGUAUUUUCAUUGCUAUUUGUAGUAACAGUGGCAACAAAUUUAUCAGCUUCUACUGCAUCCUGCUUUACAGGUGCUAAUUCUCCUUUGGAGUGCAGAUGCAUAAGCUAACAAAGGCAGGAAUAACUCCCUUUGUCCCAGGGGAAGGGAUGGCUGCUGCAGAAUCCCAUUUCCCGCAGUGGGAAGCUGCUGCUCUGAACUCUCCUGUAA